AGUUGCAGGACUCUAGGCUAGUUUGUGUAAAGCUUGUUUAUCAUUAGAAAUUUUGUCAUGUGUGGAUCGUGAGGUUUCUGCACAAGAACAACAGUAGGUGCAGAAACAUAUCUUCUUUAAUUGUUGACGAGGAAUAGGCUGUAUCCUUAGCAUAAAUAUGGUUGUGUGCGCUCUAUGUUCCUCGUCAACCUGAAAUGUAGUUGGAUCAUUAUGGAAAGCUCGCUAAUCAGAGUUCAAUUGGGUACAUCUCCUUUUGCAGCUACUUUCUCCUCUUUUAAUUAUUCUCCUUGUCUCAUGGCAGUUCAAACCGAUCACAGCAUGCAAAAUGGCCAAGGAGUUUUUAGUCUUUACGUUAGAAUUCAGGAUUAAUUAGGCCGAAGUACAGUCAUAUGACAUGGUGUGAUUGGUAAUUGCAGGAAUGCAAAAUUGGAAGUUGCAGAGGAUAUGUGCCCGAGCUCAAUGUUUAUUGAACAGGCAAGAUCAUGAUUGUGAUUUGAUAAGGAUCAAAAGGAAAGAAAUGUUGGGAGAAGGGGGGAUGUGAUUAUUCUCAUGGGCUGAGUAGUUAGGCUUUAUGAUUUUACCUAUGAAGUUUUUGGGCCUUGGUAUGGCUCAUCGAUAGUAGUGUUCCGGUAUAUCGCUUGGAAGACUUGGUUUUUCUGAUGUGAUGAAUAAUAAUGUUUUUUUGACCUUUCUAUAACUUCAUUUUGGAAUAAAAUGUAUUGCAUAGCUCCUAAUCAAUGCUGAACUUCUUGAGAUCUUUGAUAUAUGUUUAUCUGUGCAGGUAUGCAACAUAUGGACCUGAAUGUCUAUCCUCAGGGUGCUUACAACCCUUACAUGGCUCAGCAGUACCUUCAGAUAUAUGGAGUACCUGGAGCAGUUAACCCAGCUAUUUAUCCAUAUGGACAAGUGGGUCAAAAUGUUCCUAGCGGGCAUUGUUAUACAGCUGUACAGGAAUAUGCAGUGCCAAGUCAUCAAAUAGUGCAGUUUGGAGGAGCCGUUGCUAAUGCAAUCACAACUUCUCCAAUGGCCACAAUCCAAACACCGUAUCCUGGAGGUAUAGCAGCAUCUGUUCCAGCACAGCCACAAUUUAUUGUAACUACUAAGUUUAUGCAAGGUAGUGAUUCUGACCAAACAACUGGGUGAGGAGUUGAUCAAGGUAUCCUUAGAUUGCAGAAGGACUAAGAGCAGCGGAACUGCUACAUGAGUGGCAGGCUUCGGAUCUAGCCUUGCAAAUUAUUUAUUUUGCAUUCUACAGGUUGUACGUAGUCAUGCUCACCAGAGAAGUCAAUUUCGUCCGAGUCGCUCCAGAUGGUGGAGAAGCAAUAUGGAGGAAGGCGAGAAGUCUUCCUUGAUGGUGGUGGUGUUGUCUUUAACCUUUUGUAUUUAUAAAGAACGUUAGUAUGUACAGCUGGUUGGGAAGCCAGCAGUGAUGGGAUGCUGGAAAGGGAUUCUAGCAACCAACCACAUAGGGAAAUAAAAAUGGUGUAAAAAAGAAGGAUACGUGUCUAGAAUCAACAUAUGAUUCUUUUUCAUAGUUGUAGUAGACCCCAGCAUUUGGGUGUGUGUAUAGAUAGAUAGUCUUGUCGCUGGUGGAUUCUC
This is a long non-coding RNA of Hibiscus syriacus, 1599 nucleotides long. RefSeq lists it as uncharacterized. The record is from RefSeq and is a predicted model, not a curated record. The transcript has 5 exons. Lineage: Eukaryota; Viridiplantae; Streptophyta; Magnoliopsida; Malvales; Malvaceae.